This is a long non-coding RNA of Frieseomelitta varia, 416 nucleotides long. RefSeq lists it as uncharacterized. The record is from RefSeq and is a predicted model, not a curated record. Lineage: Eukaryota; Metazoa; Arthropoda; Insecta; Hymenoptera; Apidae. The transcript is spliced from 3 exons.
GGGACGAGCCGGUAGGAAAAUGAGAAGAAUUAAACCGUAAGAAAAUGUAGCGUCACGCGGCCAUAUCGGCCUCUUCGGGUCCUCGGAUGUUCGUAAAGGCCACGACGAUGGUAGUUACAACUAUGGCUGCGACGCCGACGGAUUCAAACGCCUAUUUUGAUCUAAUCACAACGCACGUGCUAAAUUUCACGAGACGUUGCAAUGGAAUUGUAAUAAAAUAUUAACGUGCACACAACCGCCAAUAGUCGUGCAGUGUAGCAAGCGUGUUGAUAUCUCAUAGGCAUUCCGUUCUCAUUAUGCGACUGUAAACAUCUACUGAAAGAAAAACACAGAUAUGUAUACGUAAUUGAGUUCAGCAAUGUGUAACAGAAUUCAACUAGAGAGAGAGAGAGAGAGAGAGAGAGAGAGAGAAACUG